Long non-coding RNA from Penaeus monodon (black tiger shrimp), 185 nucleotides. RefSeq lists it as uncharacterized. Lineage: Eukaryota; Metazoa; Arthropoda; Malacostraca; Decapoda; Penaeidae. The record is from RefSeq and is a predicted model, not a curated record. The transcript is spliced from 2 exons.
GGUACGAUGACGCCAAGAGCUUUAGGGUGAUACCGUGACUCACCAAAUGUCAGCAAGGAGAGACUGCGCGGAAGAAAUGCAAUGAUGGCGGCCCAAUGAGGAGCGAUUCAUUCCAAUCAUUCCAUUAUCUUCAGCUUCUGUGAUGGACACUCAGUGAACAAGCUCCGAAGGAAACAAAGCAAAAA